This 484-nucleotide ribosomal RNA is filed under the name uncultured bacterium. RNAcentral's name for it is "partial 16S ribosomal RNA". It matches the Rfam family "Bacterial small subunit ribosomal RNA", at positions 30 to 506 of the family's 1533-position model. The record is from RNAcentral.
UUGAACGCUGGCGGCAUGCCUUACACAUGCAAGUCGAACGGCAGCACGGGUGCUUGCACCUGGUGGCGAGUGGCGAACGGGUGAGUAAUACAUCGGAACAUGUCCUGUAGUGGGGGAUAGCCCGGCGAAAGCCGGAUUAAUACCGCAUACGAUCCACGGAUGAAAGCGGGGGACCUUCGGGCCUCGCGCUAUAGGGUUGGCCGAUGGCUGAUUAGCUAGUUGGUGGGGUAAAGGCCUACCAAGGCGACGAUCAGUAGCUGGUCUGAGAGGACGACCAGCCACACUGGGACUGAGACACGGCCCAGACUCCUACGGGAGGCAGCAGUGGGGAAUUUUGGACAAUGGGCGAAAGCCUGAUCCAGCAAUGCCGCGUGUGUGAAGAAGGCCUUCGGGUUGUAAAGCACUUUUGUCCGGAAAGAAAUCCUUGACUCUAAUACAGUCGGGGGAUGACGGUACCGGAAGAAUAAGCACCGGCUAACUACGU